RNAcentral lists this long non-coding RNA (522 nucleotides) under Gallus gallus (chicken). Its description in RNAcentral is "long non-coding RNA NONGGAT008804". The record is from RNAcentral. Lineage: Eukaryota; Metazoa; Chordata; Aves; Galliformes; Phasianidae.
CUUUGGCAUUACAGAAUCAUGAAGGUUGAAAAAGACCUCUCAGAUCACCUAGUCCGACUGUCAACCCAAUCACCACCAUGCUCAACAACCACAUUGACAUGUAGACAUAAAGCAAAAUUGUUUAUGCAAACCACUGGUCUGACACCUGCAAGAUCAUAGCACUUAUGCAGAGACAAUGGGAACAUUGUAGUAAGAACCAGGAUGUGAACCAGUCUGCACCAGCACUGUGGUCUCAAAAACCACCGAGAGAGCCAAAGGUGAGAAGGACACCAGGAAACCUUCAUGAGGAAGACUUAGAGAAGACCUCUGCCCAGGACGACCAGAGAGCAGCACGCACGUGCACAGAGAUUGACAUGAGGGAUGGGGAAGAUGUGGCCGUACUUCAGUUGCAAUGGAAGAAGCUGAGGUAGCAGAAGCCAUCUGCCUGCAGAAACAUGGAGCUGGUUUAUCCUGCCAAAAAGAAGAGUCUUUCUAUGGUGUGGGUCUCAAACCUGUUAUUUCUAGCUUGUUUUCAGUGCUCAG